RNAcentral lists this transfer RNA (82 nucleotides) under Basidiobolus meristosporus CBS 931.73. It matches the Rfam family "tRNA". Rfam says of the family: Transfer RNA (tRNA) molecules are approximately 80 nucleotides in length. The record is from Rfam by way of RNAcentral. Lineage: Eukaryota; Fungi; Basidiobolomycota; Basidiobolomycetes; Basidiobolales; Basidiobolaceae.
GGCAAGAUGGCCAAGUGGUCCAAGGUGCUGUGUUUAGGCCGCAGUCUCUCCAGAGGCAUGGGUUUGAACCCCACUCUUGUCA